Long non-coding RNA from Lingula anatina, 220 nucleotides. Lineage: Eukaryota; Metazoa; Brachiopoda; Lingulata; Lingulida; Lingulidae. The record is from RefSeq and is a predicted model, not a curated record.
UAAAAACACUCUGCUCUUCACUCGGUCAGGAAACUUGGGAAGUGUGUGGCUCUUGGCACAGGUGGACCUACCUAAAGAGCUGAGCAAAUUUAAGAUCGUCUUUGAAGGCAUCCGUGGGUCGGAUUACUAUAGUGACCUCGCUGUAGACAAGAUUUCCUUGAGAGGACUGGGCGAUUGUGUCGAAUUUUGUAGCGAACCCCCAGCGGGCACAGACCAGGUC